Non-coding RNA from Microcebus murinus (gray mouse lemur), 2915 nucleotides. The record is from RefSeq and is a predicted model, not a curated record. Lineage: Eukaryota; Metazoa; Chordata; Mammalia; Primates; Cheirogaleidae.
GAAGGAGAGAAGUCCCCAGCCCGUAAGGAGGGACGAGGAACUUGGGGCACGGAAACUGCCGGUGGACCAGGGGAUGGGGCGGCUGGACGUGCGUCCUCUCCUCGGCCUUCAGAAGUGACCCCUGGGUUCCUGGGCAGCUCAAGAUGCAGACACGGGUGGGGAGAAGUGGAGACAGGCGGCACCGGGCUCCCCAAGGUCAGGGGCCUGUACAUCGCUCCUUCCCCAGAGCCCAGCCAGGGCCGGGGUGGUGGAGGUGGGAUAUGUACUUGUCAAACUGAUUUGAUAAGAAAGAUCUAGAGUGUGAUCCAGCCACAGAGACAGGGGCAGGCAGAGAGGCAGAGAAACCAAGAGAUGAGAAGAAACACACACUCAGGUAGAAAAACCUAGAGAGAGAACGGAAAUAGAGAAGGGGAGGGAGGAGAAAAGUCUAACAGAGCAGAGAUGGGGAAGAGAGAGAAAGAGAAGAUAGUGCCUUCAUCAAGUCCCAAAAUAGCAGCUGCUGGUGCCAGUGGCCUGCUCUGAGAUGGCCUUCGAGUUAGGAAUGAAUUCAGCAUUCUCUGAGCCCAGCCCUUGUGCGCGGGUGUAGCUGUGUGCUGGCCCCAGGCUGUCAGAAAAGGCCCAGCUGGAGUGGGUUGUGUGCCCAGUGUGUGGCUUCCCGCCCCGGCUCCCCACACCCCUCCGGCUCCCGCCCUGCACGCCCAGUCCAGGAUGCCACGGUGAGGUGGCAGCACCAGCUCUGGGGAGGCCAGGGUCGCUCCAGCUUGCCUGGGGAGAGGGGAAGAGGGACCCGGGGGUAUGGGGGACGGGAAGACAUUGCUCUGGGGACAUCCAGCUUUGGAGAAGAAGAGACGGCUGUUGGAGAGUUGGAUACUCAGUGCUGUUAUUUUAAAAAUGAGUUAUACUUCCAUGAAACUCUCUUAACAGGCUGAUAGUCUUCUCGCAUCCUCUCUUCCAGAUGCCAGCCCCAGUUGUGUGGCCCAAGCGCCAUAAUUUAAGGUGCCACCUCCUCUCCAACCCGAUCACCUAUUGCUUAGGAGGAAGGGGUGAUCCUGGUGUCUUACGGGGACGUGAUAUCUGCCCCAGCCAUGUAUAAACAUGGCCUGGCUGGGCUCCAUUUCCCCUAAGGAUAAAAUAAAAACACCUGAUAUUCUUCACACCAUGAGGAUUUUUUUUUAGAUGCUAAGAAUUUUCCAACAGCAUGAGAAAUAAGACUAACAUACCGGGAGAGAUAAGUUGAAUGACCACCACCCCACCUCCUUGAGCUGUCACAUGGAAAAUUCGAAACUUUUUCUAUAGACUUAUGCCACAUCUGUGCUUGUGAUGCUCAAUCAAUAUUGUGAUGCUCAAUGCUAUUAAAAUUUAACAUUAAAAUAUCAAUUGGCAAUUAAUAUUUGGAAAGUACCCUCAAACACAAAAGAAGGGAAGGGAAGGGAAUUGAUAUUUUUUGAGCGUGUAUUUAUAUGCUGGUCACUGGGCUUUAUAAACAUUUUUACUUGCGUUGACUUGUUUAAUCCUCAGAACAAGCCUUUGAUGUUUUUAUGACCAUUUCUGCUCCAGACCUGGGAACAGUGGCUUGGAGAGAUCAGGGCCAUCCGGUGGGGCAGCACAGCAUCCAUGACAGUGAUGCUGGCAGGGACGUGGCUUGGGCAGGUAUUCCUUAGGCUUGGUGAGGCCAACUGCAGGAUGCACAGAGACUUCGAUGGACAACACUUACCGUGGAUAAGGAUUCCCAGGGGGCAAGGGCCUUACAGAUUAUGGGGAAAAUGAAGGAAGCUGGGUUGAGGAGUUCUGGAGGUCUAAAUAUGUCCCUCUGCUCCCUGUCCCAAUAGUGCCAGACAGGAAAGAUGCCCAGGAUGGGCUUCUGGAAGGAGAAUCAAAUGAGAACAGAGUCAUGCCCUGGCCAACAUGUCCUCCAGAAAGACCUAGAGUUCCUAGCCCUGCAUGGCGCUAUGCCAAGUGGGAGGAAAAGAAGGAGAAAAUGGAUGAGACAAGUGAAGGACAUGUUGGUCCUUCCUCAAGGCACUCGCUCGGGCUGGGGGUGCAGCUUCAUAUGUGGGAGCAGGCAGGGAAAAGCACACGGUGUGCUCCUGGCUAUCUUGGAUGAUGCUGCCAGCUCUUGGGGUAAAUUAAUUCAGAAAAGCAAGCCAGCAAGGUGGGAAAGUCAAGGAGAGAUCCUCAGAACAGAAGAGGCUUAGCAUGAGCCUUGAAAAAUGCCAAGGAGUCAGGCAAGCAGGGAUCUGCAUUCCUGAAAUGUCCUCUCACUUCCUUGCCCUGUGACCUUGUAAGAGGGAGUAUUAGUACUUACCCAGGGUUGGUCCAUAUCCAGAUUCAGAGGUGACCCAGAGAAGCACCUAGCCCUCUCUCUUGCCUUUAUAAACUCUCUGCCUUCCUAGAGGCUCUGGACCUGUCCAUGGUGCUGAAUUUCAGGGUGCUUGUUCAAGCCUCGCCUUGCUUGGGAGGAUCAAGUCUGCAGGAUUUCAGUUUCUCCUUCUGCAAGAAAGUGACAAGGACCCAGGCUUUCCCAAGCCCUGAGUUGCCUCCUCCCUGCCCCAGCUCCCCAGUCCAGCUUCGUGGUAGCCUGCCUCUAUAAACCACGUGAGGACGCGAGAGCAAAGGACUGGGAGCCACAGGAGACGCUGCACCGUGGGCCACUUACUGAAUACCUACGUCACGGCAGUGCUUCACGGCGUUGCAUCUGAUCUUCACAACCACCCUGCAAAGCGGAGCUGCACUCCCAUUUUACAGAUGAAGACCCACACAGCAGGGAGGAGUGGCAGUAACAGAACUGAAAACCAAGUUCUGGUCCCCAGCUUUGCCACGUACAGUGUAGACUGUAGUCAGGUGUUUAACCUCUCUGAUCUCAGUUUCCUCAUCUGUAAAAUGGGAAGAAUAAUACCUCCUUCCCAUGGAUUUCA